RNAcentral lists this unclassified non-coding RNA (779 nucleotides) under uncultured bacterium. Its description in RNAcentral is "partial contains 16S ribosomal RNA, 16S-23S ribosomal RNA intergenic spacer, and 23S ribosomal RNA". The stretch from base 87 to 160 matches the Rfam family "tRNA". The record is from RNAcentral.
UGCGGCUGGAUCCCCUCCCCUCUCUGGAUCCCGCGAGCUAGCUUCAGCGUCCACACUUAUCGGUUGCGCAACAUUGACGCCACGGCGGGCCUGUAGCUCAGCUGGUUAGAGCACCGUCUUGAUAAGGCGGGGGUCGAUGGUCCGAAUCCAUCCAGACCCACCAGCCUCGGCUCCACCAACUUGAAGAAGGGCGAAGCGACUGCUUGGUGCACUGCAAGCGAGAUCACACGCAAGGGCGCUGGUGCGAGCGCGAGCGUUUGCGUGUGCUCUUUCGAGCGCGCUUUAUCGGUUGUUCUUUAACAAUUCGGGAAGAAGUAAAGCGAAUCUCGCGAAGGGUGAAGCUUUCGCGAGAGGGUUGGAUUGUAUCGACUGCAUGCGGCCUAGUCCGUCGCAUGCGGGAUCGCAAACGCGCCGUAGCGAUGCGCAGUUCUCAAGUGCGCAGCGUUAUGGGGUCAAGCGACUAAGUGCAUGUGGUGGAUGCCUUGGCGAUCACAGGCGAUGAAGGACGUGGCAGCCUGCGAAAAGCUGCUGGGAGCUGGCAAACCCAGCUUGAUCCGCACAUGUCCCCAAUGUGGAAACCCCGCAUCACUUGUUUAAUUCUGGCCGUCUGCUAGUCCACCCUUUGGGCAGAGUUCCCACCCCGCUGGAUCCUCCCCCGUAUUAUUUUUUCUCGUUUCCUCAUUAUUUUCUUUCUCUUCCUGCUUCAUUUACUACCUCUCUCCAAUUAUCAUCAACCCUAAUUAUCUCUACCCCUCUACAUCCUCCUACUUCAACUUUAU